CGCAUCUGUGCAUGCAGCAUAUCAAUAAGCGGAGGAAAAGAGGGCUAUUACCUACGCUUAGGAUGUUGACGAGACUGUCGAUCUCAUCUAUACAUGACUCUGUGCAUGUCAAUAAGCGGAGGAAAAGAGGGCUACUACCUACGCUUAGGAUGUUGACGAGACUGUCGAUCUCAUCUAUACAUGACUCUGUGCAUAUCAAUAAGCGGAGGAAAAGUACCUACGCUUAGGAUGUUGACGCGCGUGUGUGCGUGAGUCUAUGCAUGACUCUGUGCAUAUCAAUAAGCGGAGGAAAAGGCUGCGGAACUGAACGACCGCUACCUACGCUUAGGAUGUUGACGAGACUGUCGAUCUCAUCUAUACAUGACUCUGUGCAUAUCAAUAAGCGGAGGAAAAGAAACUAACAAGGAUUCCCUUAGUAACGGCGAGUGAAGCGGGAAGAGCUCAAAUUUGAAAUCUUCAAGGUUUUACCUUGACGAAUUGUAGUUUAAAGAAGUGUUUUCUGUUGAAGUUUUGGUAAAAGUUCUUUGGAAUAGGACAUCAUAGAGGGUGAGAAUCCCGUAUUUGACCAUUAUUUUCAGCUGUGUGAUACACUUUCAAAGAGUCGGAUUGUUUGGGAAUGCAGUCCAAAAUGGGUGGUAAAUUUCAUCUAAAGCUAAAUAUUGGCGAGAGACCGAUAGCGAACAAGUACCGAGAGGGAAAGAUGAAAAGAACUUUGAAAAGAGAGUUAAACAGUACGUGAAAUUGUCAAAAGGGAAGCGUUUGACACCAGUGUUGUUUUUCUGAAAAUCAAUUAAAGAACUGUUUAUGCUAAGUUGUUUAGACUUUAUCAGCUAUCUGCUUAGUUUUGAGCUUUUCUUUAAUGCACUUUUCAGUUAACAAGUCAACAUCAAUUUCUUUUGCUGUAAAAAAGCUUGAGGAAGGUGGCUUGAGAUUCGUCUUAAGUGUUUAUAGCCUCUUGCCUAUGCAGUCGGAGAGAUUGAGGUCUGCAGCGUAGAUCCUUCGGGGCUAAAUGCAUUUAUGCUAAGUUAUAGCAUUUUAUAGACAACUUGUUGACUAUGAUUUGUCUUGUAGCUUACUCGCUUAUGUUAUUUUACCUACGCUUAGGAUGUUGACGAGACUGUCGAUCUC
RNAcentral lists this ribosomal RNA (1128 nucleotides) under uncultured Neocallimastigales. RNAcentral describes it as "partial large subunit ribosomal RNA". The stretch from base 346 to 1128 matches the Rfam family "Eukaryotic large subunit ribosomal RNA", at positions 1 to 647 of the family's 3401-position model. Lineage: Eukaryota; Fungi; Neocallimastigomycota; Neocallimastigomycetes; Neocallimastigales. The record is from RNAcentral.